UCAUAAACUGGCCUUUUCCUUGCCAAAUAACUUUCUCCCACAAGCUUUGCAUGAUAAGGACUCAAUGACGAAAAUAAUUCCUUGUGUUUUGGCAGUUGCGGUAUUGCCGGCGACUUCACCUGGUUCUUGUUAGCAUCAACCAGUAUGGUAUUCGUCAAUUUUGACUGUACUUCACUGGUUUUGUUCUUUACACCAACUAUGUAAGGAACUGGUGCAUCCAAAAAGUCCAGCAUAUCAUCUGGUAAAAUCGGCAUCAAUAGGCUUUGCCAUUGAUAGGGACGGAUUAGAGGGACAAUUGAUAAAAUCAAUGCAGAUAAGAUUCCCAAAUUAGAACAAACACCACAAUCUGCUUCUCCAGCAGUGCACCGGCAAACAGUGUUAACACAUUCUCUAGACGCAAGGAUCCACAUAUGCAUGCAACAGCCCAUGUUGAUAGUGCAAUUGCUUCCUCCUCCGCUGCGAGCGCACUAUGCGCCUCAGCAAAUUCCAGACUUGUACUGCA
RNAcentral lists this unclassified non-coding RNA (502 nucleotides) under Hevea brasiliensis (rubber tree). Lineage: Eukaryota; Viridiplantae; Streptophyta; Magnoliopsida; Malpighiales; Euphorbiaceae. The record is from RNAcentral.